AUUGCUUCUCGGCCUUUUGGCUAAGAUCGGUGUGGUAUCUGUUCUUAUCCGUUUAAAAUAUAUUUUCCUAUACUGACUUUAUAAUCACCGUAC
This 93-nucleotide small nuclear RNA is filed under the name Otolemur garnettii (small-eared galago). RNAcentral describes it as "U2 spliceosomal RNA". It matches the Rfam family "U2 spliceosomal RNA". Rfam says of the family: U2 is a small nuclear RNA (snRNA) component of the spliceosome (involved in pre-mRNA splicing). Complementary binding between U2 snRNA (in an area lying towards the 5' end but 3' to hairpin I) and the branchpoint sequence (BPS) of the intron results the bulging out of an unpaired adenosine, on the BPS, which initiates a nucleophilic attack at the intronic 5' splice site, thus starting the first of two transesterification reactions that mediate splicing. Lineage: Eukaryota; Metazoa; Chordata; Mammalia; Primates; Galagidae. The record is from Rfam by way of RNAcentral.